AACUGCGCCCAGGACCGGGAGAGCAGCCCAGAUGGUAGUUACACAGAAGAGCAAAGCCAGGAGAGCGAGCACAAGGUGCUGGCCACGGACUUCGACGAUGAGUUCGACGAUGAGGAGCCGCUUCCUGCCAUCGGGACCUGCAAGGCCCUCUACACCUUUGAAGGUCAGAACGAAGGCACCAUUUCGGUAGUUGAAGGAGAAACGCUGAGCGUGAUUGAGGAGGACAAAGGCGAUGGGUGGACACGCAUCCGCAGAAACGAAGACGAGGAGGGUUACGUCCCCACUUCCUACGUCGAAG
This 298-nucleotide long non-coding RNA is filed under the name Rattus norvegicus (Norway rat). Its description in RNAcentral is "long non-coding RNA NONRATT019153". Lineage: Eukaryota; Metazoa; Chordata; Mammalia; Rodentia; Muridae. The record is from RNAcentral.